Molecule: long non-coding RNA, 230 nt
Filed under: Lathyrus oleraceus (garden pea)
Lineage: Eukaryota; Viridiplantae; Streptophyta; Magnoliopsida; Fabales; Fabaceae
Description: Pisum sativum (pea) long non-coding RNA (PSAT_LNC004587)
Source: RNAcentral
AGAAACACAAGCAAAGAAUAUUUUAAAAGGAGUGAGAGAUUUUGAAAUUAAAGAAGUGGGGAGGAGAUGAAGAGACUAAUCCUAGGCACAAAUUUAAAAGUUGAGAGUUGAAAAGAUCUGACCAAUGGGCUGCAAUCCAAUAGACAAGAAUGUCAUAUAAAAAUCCAAAUUUCCCUUGGACUUUAGAGUCAAACAACAAUGCAAAUACACAAAUAGAAAGUUGAAGAGUA